RNAcentral lists this ribosomal RNA (399 nucleotides) under uncultured bacterium. RNAcentral's name for it is "bacterial SSU rRNA". It matches the Rfam family "Bacterial small subunit ribosomal RNA", at positions 356 to 772 of the family's 1533-position model. The record is from RNAcentral.
GGGGAAUCUUGCGCAAUGGACGAAAGCCUGAUCCAGCAAUGCCGCGUGAGUGAUGAAGGCCUUAGGGUUGUAAAGCUCUUUUACCCGGGAUGAUAAUGACAGUACCGGGAGAAUAAGCCCCGGCUAACUCCGUGCCAGCAGCCGCGGUAAUACGGAGGGAGCUAGCGUUGUUCGGAACUACUGGGCGUAAAGCGCGCGUAGGCGGUUUCUCAAGUCAGAGGUGAAAGCCCGGGGCUCAACCCCGGAACUGCCUUUGAAACUAGGAGACUAGAAUCUUGGAGAGGUCAGUGGAAUUCCGAGUGUAGAGGUGAAAUUCGUAGAUAUUCGGAAGAACACCAGUGGCGAAGGCGACUGACUGGACAAGUAUUGACGCUGAGGUGCGAAAGCGUGGGGAGCAAA